This 253-nucleotide ribosomal RNA is filed under the name uncultured bacterium. Its description in RNAcentral is "partial 16S ribosomal RNA". It matches the Rfam family "Bacterial small subunit ribosomal RNA", at positions 524 to 776 of the family's 1533-position model. The record is from RNAcentral.
UACGUAGGGUGCGAGCGUUAAUCGGAAUUACUGGGCGUAAAGCGUGCGCAGGCGGUUCGUUAUGUCCGAUGUGAAAGCCCCGAGCUUAACUUGGGAAUGGCAUUGGAAACUGGCGGGCUGGAGUGCGGCAGAGGGGGGUGGAAUUCCACGUGUAGCAGUGAAAUGCGUAGAGAUGUGGAGGAAUACCGAUGGCGAAGGCAGCCUCCUGGGCCAACACUGACGCUCAUGCACGAAAGCGUGGGGAGCAAACAGG